UACGUAGGGUGCGAGCGUUGUCCGGAAUUAUUGGGCGUAAAGGGCUCGUAGGCGGUUUGUCGCGUCGGGAGUGAAAACUCAGGGCUUAACCCUGAGCCUGCUUCCGAUACGGGCAGACUAGAGGUAUGCAGGGGAGAACGGAAUUCCUGGUGUAGCGGUGAAACGCGCAGAUAUCAGGAGGAACACCGGUGGCGAAGGCGGUUCUCUGGGCCAAAACUGACGCUGAGGAGCGAAAGCGUGGGGAGCGAACAGG
This 253-nucleotide ribosomal RNA is filed under the name uncultured bacterium. Its description in RNAcentral is "partial 16S ribosomal RNA". It matches the Rfam family "Bacterial small subunit ribosomal RNA", at positions 524 to 776 of the family's 1533-position model. The record is from RNAcentral.